ACGGGUGAGUAAUGUAUCGGAACGUGCCCAGUUGUGGGGGAUAACUGCUCGAAAGAGCAGCUAAUACCGCAUACGACCUGAGGGUGAAAGCGGGGGAUCGCAAGACCUCGCGCAAUUGGAGCGGCCGAUAUCAGAUUAGGUAGUUGGUGGGGUAAAGGCCUACCAAGCCUACGAUCUGUAGCUGGUCUGAGAGGACGACCAGCCACACUGGGACUGAGACACGGCCCAGACUCCUACGGGAGGCAGCAGUGGGGAAUUUUGGACAAUGGGGGCAACCCUGAUCCAGCCAUGCCGCGUGCGGGAAGAAGGCCUUCGGGUUGUAAACCGCUUUUGUCAGGGAAGAAAUCCUUUGAGCUAAUACCUCGGAGGGAUGACGGUACCUGAAGAAUAAGCACCGGCUAACUACGUGCCAGCAGCCGCGGUAAUACGUAGGGUGCAAGCGUUAAUCGGAAUUACUGGGCGUAAAGCGUGCGCAGGCGGUUAUGCAAGACAGAUGUGAAAUCCCCGGGCUCAACCUGGGAACUGCAUUUGUGACUGCAUGGCUAGAGUACGGUAGAGGGGGAUGGAAUUCCACGUGUAGCAGUG
RNAcentral lists this ribosomal RNA (585 nucleotides) under uncultured bacterium. Its description in RNAcentral is "bacterial SSU rRNA". It matches the Rfam family "Bacterial small subunit ribosomal RNA", at positions 102 to 683 of the family's 1533-position model. The record is from RNAcentral.